This 375-nucleotide ribosomal RNA is filed under the name uncultured organism. RNAcentral describes it as "partial 16S ribosomal RNA". It matches the Rfam family "Bacterial small subunit ribosomal RNA", at positions 527 to 896 of the family's 1533-position model. The record is from RNAcentral.
GAACCGUCCAAACGUUAUUCGGGAAUUACUGGGGCUUAAAGGGUGCGUAGGCGGCGCCGUAAGUCGGGUGUGAAAUCCCUCGGCUCAACCGAGGGAACUGCGCCCGAUACUGCGGUGCUUGAGGGAGACAGAGGUAAGCGGAACUGAUGGUGGAGCGGUGAAAUGCGUUGAUAUCAUCAGGAACACCAGUAGCGAAAGCGGCUUACUGGGUCUCUUCUGACGCUGAGGCACGAAAGCUAGGGUAGCGAACGGGAUUAGAUACCCCGGUAGUCCUAGCUGUAAACGAUGAGCACUUGAUCGGAGACUCCUCCAUAGGUUUCCGGUCGAAGCGAAAGUGUUAAGUGCUCCGCCUGGGGAGUAUGGUCGCAAAGGCUG